Podarcis lilfordi (Lilford's wall lizard) is the source of this 76-nucleotide non-coding RNA. Lineage: Eukaryota; Metazoa; Chordata; Lepidosauria; Squamata; Lacertidae. The record is from the annotation of a GenBank genome assembly.
GCCCACAGGUGACACAUUGGGGCAGUGCAUCUGGCUGUUAACCAAAAGGUUGGUGGUUCGAGCCCACUGAGGGACA